ACUAUUUUGGCAGAUAAGUGCAAUGGAUUUAGAAUCUAUAAAUGUAGAUUAUAUCUAUAAAUAGUA
This 66-nucleotide transfer RNA is filed under the name Centrocolumna ericea. RNAcentral describes it as "tRNA-Leu". It matches the Rfam family "tRNA". Rfam says of the family: Transfer RNA (tRNA) molecules are approximately 80 nucleotides in length. Their secondary structure includes four short double-helical elements and three loops (D, anti-codon, and T loops). The record is from RNAcentral. Lineage: Eukaryota; Metazoa; Arthropoda; Insecta; Blattodea; Blattellidae.